AACAAUCUUUCUCUGGUUGAGUAUGAACUAGUUACUGUUCAGGGAUGAUCAGCAUCUUCAGGAAGUGAAUAUUUGGAAUUUAGUGGAGUUAUUUUGUUUGCUAUUUAUGAACUGUUUUGACUGAGAGACAGCUUUUGAAUGUGGUACAAAGUUUUGGUUAAGAUGUAAUUUUAAUCUCUGUAUGGGAAUUGGUAAUUGCAAAA
RNAcentral lists this unclassified non-coding RNA (203 nucleotides) under Hevea brasiliensis (rubber tree). Lineage: Eukaryota; Viridiplantae; Streptophyta; Magnoliopsida; Malpighiales; Euphorbiaceae. The record is from RNAcentral.